CCUACGGGGGGCAGCAGUGAGGAAUAUUGGUCAAUGGACGAGAGUCUGAACCAGCCAAGUAGCGUGAAGGAUGACUGCCCUAUGGGUUGUAAACUUCUUUUAUAUGGGAAUAAAAUGUUCCACGUGUGGGAUUUUGUAUGUACCUUAUGAAUAAGGAUCGGCUAACUCCGUGCCAGCAGCCGCGGUAAUACGGAGGAUCCGAGCGUUAUCCGGAUUUAUUGGGUUUAAAGGGUGCGUAGGUGGAUUGUUAAGUCAGUUGUGAAAGUUUGGGGCUCAACCGUAAAAUUGCAGUUGAAACUGGCAGUCGUGAGUACAGUAGAGGUGGGCGGAAUGCGUGGUGUAGCGGUGAAAUGCUUAGAGAUCACGAAGAACUCCGAGUGCGAAGGCAGCUCACUGGACUGCAACUGACACUGAGGCUCGAAAGUGUGGGUAUCAAACAGGAUUAGAUACCCGGGUAGUC
RNAcentral lists this ribosomal RNA (460 nucleotides) under uncultured bacterium. RNAcentral describes it as "partial 16S ribosomal RNA". It matches the Rfam family "Bacterial small subunit ribosomal RNA", at positions 338 to 795 of the family's 1533-position model. The record is from RNAcentral.